Non-coding RNA from Camellia sinensis, 916 nucleotides. Lineage: Eukaryota; Viridiplantae; Streptophyta; Magnoliopsida; Ericales; Theaceae. The record is from RefSeq and is a predicted model, not a curated record.
CAAGAAAAGAUGGCAAAAAAGACGGAAUUAUUAGCGACGGCGCGAUCCCCGUCGCCAAAAAUGGUAUUUUGCUACGGCAAAAUAAACCGUCGCAAAAAAGUAGUUUUAGCGACGGCGUUUAACCGUCGGUAAUAAACUGCACAGGCGAGUAUUAAAAUCAGGAACUAUUAGCGACGGCAAGUGUUGAACCGUCGGGAAAAAAAAAAAUAUUUGAGACGGCAAAAGUUUGCUGUCGCAAAUACUCGGCCAUUUGCGACGGCAAAUUUCCGUCGCAAAAAAUGAUUAUUAAAACGGCGUCGUUUAUUAAUCGUUUUGUAUAAUUUGCGACGGUGUAAACCGUACCGUCGCAAAAAGUAAAAAACAAUUUUCCCCCCUCUUCCCUCUCAUCUUGUCGCUCGGUUCCAUCGCAAAAUCCCUAAAAUUGAUUUGAAGCACAAAAUCCCUAAAAUCCCUAGCGGUGUCCGAUAGAAAUCCCUCUCAUCUUGCCGCUCAAUUUUCCCCCAAAAUCCCCAAACCAGCGACGGGCGACCGGCGACGAACGGCGAAGGCCAGCGGUGGUGCGGUGGUGCGGCGACGACGAACGGCGAAGGGCUAGCGGCGGUGCUUCGACGACGACAGCAACUCAGAUAUUUCCUUAGUUGCAGUUUGCUUCUUGUGGAAUGCGGGUGUAUAAAGAUUAUAAUCAGCUUUUAUUUUUUGAACCCACGAAGGAAGCAAGACGAAAACUUUUGGUUUUGAUUUUGAUUUUGAUUUAUGUUAUUUAAAUUUGUGAACAAUAUUAUGUAUGUAUUAUGCGACAUUAUGUAGUGGUAUAAUUUUUAUUUCUGUAUUGUUAUUAAUGGAACAACAUUAUGAAUGUUCAUCAUGUGCCGUCUUUUGUUUAUAUAUGUAUUUAUAUUAUUAUGUAAUUUUUAGA